CUCUCGGACAAAGAUGGACAUAUCAAAGUUACCGAUUAGGACAGUGUGCAGUCUGCACAAGUCAGCUAGCAAGGACUUCAGGCUCAGGACUGCCACAUGUGGAGCUAGGUCGCCAGCCCACCCCUGGAGACGAAUGAGGAAAAAGCUGCUGAAGCCUCUCAGCUGGCAAAGCCUGCGAAGGUAUUCUGCACAACACAAAGCAUUAUUCAUAAAGGCAUAUGUGGCUGAUAGUCCUCUACGGGAUAUUUGGAUGUCUCCCAUAAUUACUUCACUUCUCACCGUUUCAGAGCGGAGCCUUCAGGCAGCUCCAACUUUUCCAUGUUGCACCCAGCGCUGACAACAGAUGGUGCUGCCUCAAUCCCCUCAGCCAAAAGAGGCACCGAAUCUGACUAACUUUGGGGAUUCCUGGUAUGAAGAGCCGCAGGUGAUGGGUAUGUCAGACUUUCAGGAAAGCACGCAGCCGUUUUCAACUGUGCAGGAACGUCUGCUCCAGCCCCUUCCGUGACCAAAGUCGGCCUGAGUCACCCCACAGCAAAGGCAACCUGGAGCACCAUCACUACUUAAUGAAGUAAGACUUAUAUAAAACAUAUAUAUAAAUAGAAACAGCAUCAAUUCAGUGUGAUUGGUGUUAUUUUCACUAGCCCUCCUUGGAACAGAAUCCGUGUCUUUCACCAUAUCUGUAAAUCAUUAAAUACACUGGCCAAUUGCUUAUUUUUCUAAGAAUGAGACACCAAAUUUGAACAUCUCAGCUGAGGAUGGGAAUAAAUUUCUGUGGGAGAUGAGUAUAGCUCA
RNAcentral lists this long non-coding RNA (792 nucleotides) under Struthio camelus australis. RNAcentral describes it as "lncRNA (ENSSCUG00000014699.1)". The record is from RNAcentral. Lineage: Eukaryota; Metazoa; Chordata; Aves; Struthioniformes; Struthionidae.